Lepus europaeus (European hare) is the source of this 103-nucleotide non-coding RNA. RefSeq annotates it as small Cajal body-specific RNA 15. The record is from RefSeq and is a predicted model, not a curated record. Lineage: Eukaryota; Metazoa; Chordata; Mammalia; Lagomorpha; Leporidae. The transcript has a single exon.
UUGAAGAUUUAUUGAUUUUGCUUUUAGCCUCCUAAAUGAAAAGAUAGAUAGAACAGGUCUUGUUUAAAAAGUAAAUUCAAAACCUACUUAUCUACCAGCAACA